This 500-nucleotide ribosomal RNA is filed under the name uncultured Glomus. RNAcentral's name for it is "SSU rRNA". It matches the Rfam family "Eukaryotic small subunit ribosomal RNA", at positions 569 to 1074 of the family's 1831-position model. Lineage: Eukaryota; Fungi; Glomeromycota; Glomeromycetes; Glomerales; Glomeraceae. The record is from RNAcentral.
AGCAGCCGCGGUAAUUCCAGCUCCAAUAGCGUAUAUUAAAGUUGUUGCAGUUAAAAAGCUCGUAGUUGAAUUUCGGGAUCAAUAUGUCGGUCGUGCCUUCGGUACGUACUGGUAUCAUUGGUCUCUCCUUUCUGACGAACCAUGAUGUCAUUAAUUUGGUGUUAUGGGGAGUUUAGGACUGUUACUUUGAAAAAAUUGAGUGUUUAAAGCAGGCUUUAGCUUGAAUACAUUAGCAUGGAAUAAUGAAAUAGGACGUUCGAACCUAUUUUGUUGGUUUCUAGGAUCAACGUAAUGAUUAAUAGGGAUAGUUGGGGGCAUUAGUAUUCAAUUGUCAGAGGUGAAAUUCUUGGAUUUAUUGAAGACUAACUACUGCGAAAGCAUUUGCCAAGGAUGUUUUCAUUAAUCAAGACGAAAGUUGGGAAUCGAAGACGAUCAGAUACCGUCGUAGUCUUAACCAUAAACUAUAGCCGACUAGGGAUCGGAUGAUGUUUAAUUUUUAU